CGCAAGUUGCGCCCGAAGCCAUUAGGCCGAGGGCACGUCUGCCUGGGCGUCACGCAUCGCGUCGCCCCCUCCCACUCCUUUCUUUUGCGAAAGUGGGUGGAUUACAAGGGGGACGUACAUUGGCCUCCCGUGCUCUUGUUGUGCGGCCGGCCUAAAUUUGAU
This 162-nucleotide ribosomal RNA is filed under the name Nautilocalyx melittifolius. RNAcentral describes it as "5.8S ribosomal RNA". Lineage: Eukaryota; Viridiplantae; Streptophyta; Magnoliopsida; Lamiales; Gesneriaceae. The record is from RNAcentral.